This 253-nucleotide ribosomal RNA is filed under the name uncultured bacterium. RNAcentral describes it as "partial 16S ribosomal RNA". It matches the Rfam family "Bacterial small subunit ribosomal RNA", at positions 524 to 776 of the family's 1533-position model. The record is from RNAcentral.
UACGAAGGGUGCAAGCGUUGCUCGGAAUUAUUGGGCGUAAAGGGUACGUAGGUGGUUACGUAUGUCUGGGGUGAAAUCCCUGAGCUCAACUCAGGAAGUGCCUUGGAAACGGCGUAACUAGAGUGCUGGAGAGGUUCGCAGAAUUCCCGGUGUAGCGGUGAAAUGCGUAGAGAUCGGGAGGAAUACCAGAGGCGAAGGCGGCGAACUGGACAGCAACUGACACUAAACUACGAAAGCGUGGGGAGCAAACAGG